RNAcentral lists this ribosomal RNA (464 nucleotides) under Vreelandella stevensii. RNAcentral describes it as "partial 16S ribosomal RNA". It matches the Rfam family "Bacterial small subunit ribosomal RNA", at positions 339 to 795 of the family's 1533-position model. The record is from RNAcentral. Lineage: Bacteria; Pseudomonadati; Pseudomonadota; Gammaproteobacteria; Oceanospirillales; Halomonadaceae.
CCUCGGGCGGCAGCAGUGGGGAAUAUUGGACAAUGGGCGAAAGCCUGAUCCAGCCAUGCCGCGUGUGUGAAGAAGGCCUUCGGGUUGUAAAGCACUUUCAGUGGGGAAGAAAGCCUUGGGGCUAAUACCCUCGAGGAAGGACAUCACCCACAGAAGAAGCACCGGCUAACUCCGUGCCAGCAGCCGCGGUAAUACGGAGGGUGCGAGCGUUAAUCGGAAUUACUGGGCGUAAAGCGCGCGUAGGCGGUCUGAUAAGCCGGUUGUGAAAGCCCCGGGCUCAACCUGGGAACGGCAUCCGGAACUGUCAGGCUAGAGUGCAGGAGAGGAAGGUAGAAUUCCCGGUGUAGCGGUGAAAUGCGUAGAGAUCGGGAGGAAUACCAGUGGCGAAGGCGGCCUUCUGGACUGACACUGACGCUGAGGUGCGAAAGCGUGGGUAGCAAACAGGAUUAGAUACCCUUGUAGUC